Eriocheir sinensis (Chinese mitten crab) is the source of this 360-nucleotide long non-coding RNA. RefSeq lists it as uncharacterized. The transcript has 3 exons. NCBI's taxonomy places the organism in Eukaryota, Metazoa, Arthropoda, Malacostraca, Decapoda, Varunidae. The record is from RefSeq and is a predicted model, not a curated record.
UGCUAUCUGGACGUAAAGAGAGGAGGAGGGAAGGUCAUCGUGGAGAAGGCCCCUCAGGCUCGUAUCGACAAGAAGUAUUUGGUUCCUUUGCCAGUCGGUCAAUUCUACUUCCUCAUGCGCAAGAGAAUUCCCCUGAGACCCGAGGAUGCCCUCAUCUUCUUCGUCAACAAUGUGAUUCCUCCCACCAGCGCCACCAUGGGAUCGCUCUACCAGGGAAGGAACCGAGAUGAGACCAGACUCAGCCCUCCAGUGAGCCCAGGAGACCACCGAGGGACACCCACGCACCUCAUGGCAUGGGGGAGGACGGAUGGAGAUGGUGGGUGAGUGAAGCAACCCACCCCCUGUGUAUGCUCAGGCCCA